RNAcentral lists this ribosomal RNA (500 nucleotides) under uncultured bacterium. Its description in RNAcentral is "partial 16S ribosomal RNA". It matches the Rfam family "Bacterial small subunit ribosomal RNA", at positions 30 to 523 of the family's 1533-position model. The record is from RNAcentral.
AUUGAGCGCUGGCGGAAUGCUUUACACAUGCAAGUCGAACGGCAGCACGGACUUCGGUCUGGUGGCGAGUGGCGAACGGGUGAGUAAUGUAUCGGAACGUGCCCAGUCGUGGGGGAUAACGUAGUGAAAAUUACGCUAAUACCGCAUACGAUCUAUGGAUGAAAGCGGGGGAUCGCAAGACCUCGCGCGAUUGGAGCGGCCGAUAGCGGAUUAGGUAGUUGGUGGGGUAAAGGCCCACCAAGCCAACGAUCUGUAGCUGGUCUGAGAGGACGACCAGCCACACUGGAACUGAGACACGGUCCAGACUCCUACGGGAGGCAGCAGUGGGGAAUUUUGGACAAUGGGCGGAAGCCUGAUCCAGCCAUUCCGCGUGCAGGAUGAAGGCCCUCGGGUUGUAAACUGCUUUUGUACAGAACGAAAAGGUUUCUACUAAUACUAGGAGCUCAUGACGGUACUGUAAGAAUAAGCACCGGCUAACUACGUGCCAGCAGCCGCCGUAA